AGUCUGAUGGAGCAACGCCGCGUGAGUGAAGAAGGCUUUCGGGUCGUAAAACUCUGUUGUUGGAGAAGAAUGGUCGGCAGAGUAACUGUUGUCGGCGUGACGGUAUCCAACCAGAAAGCCACGGCUAACUACGUGCCAGCAGCCGCGGUAAUACGUAGGUGGCAAGCGUUAUCCGGAUUUAUUGGGCGUAAAGCGAGCGCAGGCGGUUUUUUAAGUCUGAUGUGAAAGCCCUCGGCUUAACCGAGGAAGUGCAUCGGAAACUGGGAAACUUGAGUGCAGAAGAGGACAGUGGAACUCCAUGUGUAGCGGUGAAAUGCGUAGAUAUAUGGAAGAACACCAGUGGCGAAGGCGGCUGUCUGGUCUGUAACUGACGCUGAGGCUCGAAAGCAUGGGUAGCGAACAGGAUUAGAUACCCUGGUAGUCCAUGCCGUAAACGAUGAAUGCUAGGUGUUGGAGGGUUUCCGCCCUUCAGUGCCGCAGCUAACGCAUUAAGCAUUCCGCCUGGGGAGUACGACCGCAAGGUUGAAACUCAAAGGAAUUGACGGGGGCCCGCACAAGCGGUGGAGCAUGUGGUUUAAUUCGAAGCAACGCGAAGAACCUUACCAGGUCUUGACAUCUUUUGAUCACCUGAGAGAUCAGGUUUCCCCUUCGGGGGCAAACUGACAGGUGGUGCAUGGUUGUCGUCAGCUCGUGUCGUGAGAUGU
Molecule: ribosomal RNA, 704 nt
Filed under: Lacticaseibacillus rhamnosus
Lineage: Bacteria; Bacillati; Bacillota; Bacilli; Lactobacillales; Lactobacillaceae
Description: bacterial SSU rRNA
Rfam family: Bacterial small subunit ribosomal RNA
Source: RNAcentral